GGCUGCCGCCGCCGCAGCUCAAGGAUCCGACUUCAUGGGGGUGGGGGGCACCCUCUGGCGGGCGGCCCGGCGAGCAGCACCGAGCCCUGAGCGCACCGCGCGGCGGCUGGCCCGCGCCCUUAACCCUUCGCGGCGCGCGGCCCGGGGAGGCGGGCACCUUUCCCCAAGAGUGGCUCGGGACGGGCCGUGGGGGAGGGGAGGAGCGGGGUGGAGGGCAAGGUUCCUUCCAGGUUUGGGAAGGGGGCGGGGAGCUGCGCGAUGAGGUAAUUGGAGCGGUGACCGGUCGGUCCUCGAGCGCCUCCCUGGGUCCCUGCACCUAGUUGGAGGGGACCGAGCGACCGCGGGGCGCUGCUCAGGCAACCUGGGGGACUCCCCCAAGGGGUGUCAGGCUUCAGCUGGCAGCCAAUGAAACACCCCAGGGGGGAGGGGAGGUCGGCGGGUUCUAAUCCCAACGUGCCCUGGGUCCCCGGCGCCCCGAGCCGCGUCUAAAAGGGCUCCCUCCGAUCAUCAGCUGCACGUUAUUUAACCCGCAAACCGGCGUCGCUGCGGCGUUCGGGAACCCAGGCCCGGGGGCCUCGGGGAUUGCCUCUGCGUGCAACUCCGCAAAGUUUCCCGGGCCCCCCGACUGCACAGGCGCCCUCACCUUCGCUGCCUGAGAACGCCCGGCCGUGCCCUCGCUCUCUCCGCAGGUCCGGAAAUCGGCUUCGAUCUGGAGCUACUUACUCCGCUCUAGCCUGGAAAGGAGACCCGCGCACUCCUCUCGCAGCUAAUUUGGGAUCAUUAAUUUAAUCGGAAAUGAGGUAACCAGUGUAAGAGACAGAGAAAGCCACCGGAGCAUCAAAUGGCAGCUCUCGGGAAUCGAUGAAGAACUUGAGUCUGGACUCUGUGUUUUAGUGCGGUCCGCGACUCCCACCACCCCGCCCGCCCCUCCGCCUGUCCCGCCGCCAGGUGUGACCUCCACGCGAAGGAAUCUUCGUCGGCUGGGCUAACAUUGCCAACAGGUGUGGCACCUGGAGGACUGGGAGGUGCCUCCAGACUACGGGCGCUCAGCGUGGCGUUUUUGCUGCAGAUGAUUCUGGAAGGCCAGUAGGUGUCGGGCAACAUUUGACCUCCUUCAGGUGCUUAGAACUAGGUGUCUGGAAACAUGACCCCUUCGCGUAAGUUUCUUUCUGAAAGCCACCGCUCUUGACUGUAAGCUGUAUUUGAGAGACCUUUUGGCUGAGUUUACUUAUGACCUAACGGUUAGUCACCCACUGAGGCAGGGCAGAGAAUGAUCAAAACAUGUGUCAGGUUUUACACAACUCUGGCCUGCAAGAGCCUACGUGCUCCUGAAAUAAUAAACGUACGAGCGAGGAAAGUGCAGAGCCCCGGAAAUAUUUUUUCUCACAUUUUUGAUAUGCCGUGCACAUGUAAGUGGCUAUUUAAAUGUAACUACUACUGUUCACUCUUACUCAUUUCUACAACUCCCCCCCCCCAUUUAAAAAUCGAUGAUUGUUACAGUUUGAAACCUCGGGUUAGUCUAAAGUGACAUUGUUGGUCUCCUUACAGCCUCUAGUGGACAGUUAACAUCAGUUUCCUGAAAAGGCUCUGAUAGGUUUUGUUUUGUCAAGGUGAAGGUUAGCGCGUCAGAGCAUAACUGGGUAAAAUAUCCCACACCCCUAUCCUCACCCCCGCCCCCAACCCCCUACUUGACAAAGUCGACUUCAGAAAGAAGCAGAAGCUUGUUGGCUUUGUAUAGGAGAUGCUGCCGGUAUUAUUACUGGACUUUUCAUGUCAGUUUCAGACAGCUUCCAUAAAAACUAAACUCAUCUCAAAUAUUUUUAUAACAGAAAAUAUUGGUUGCCAUGUUUUUGGCUUAACUGCGAUGUUUUUAUUCCAACUCAUAAUCUGCAAACUGUCCAAUCCACCUCCACUCUAUUUUUAGACAUCUUACAUUUAGAUAAUUUUCCGUUAAAAAAGCUAAUAUUGUAAUUAUUAUGUUGGCACAACCAGUUAAUUUACAUGAUUUUAGCAACCUUAAAACACAUAAUUCAGAUUAGAGUUAGCCAAUUAAUUUAAAUGUUCUCUCAAGGAAGCUAAAUAUGUAUAUUACCCAAAUGGUAAAAACAAUUAAUAAGAAAUGUGUCAUUUACUUUCUUAGCCAUUGAGAUUAAAGCCAUAAACUGCCACCAAAGCUGUAACUAUUUCUUCCUGCAAGAUCCAGCAUAAACACCAUACUCGUGAAACAGUCUCAUUACCUUUAGUACUGAAAUAUUUUGUUUUCAGAUGGCAAAAUAUUAAAUGUACAGUCACAAAUAACAGACACUGAUUCUUUAGAAACAAGACUUUCUCAUGCAAAUAAAAACUCAAUGAGAAAGGGCAGAGCUUUCAGAAGCUAGUAGGCAAAUAUAUAGUACUAUAGUCCUAGUCGUCAGGCUGACGUUAUAUUUGUGCAAGCAUAAGUCAACCUUUGAAAUUACAGGAAAUAGAUAAAUAAGGCCCGAUGAGCUUGACUCAUAACCUGUGUUGUAGAUUGCUUAAAUACCAUGGAAAACAAUUGUAAUUACAGACCUGUUUUACUGUUUUGGUGCUACUCUUGAAGACUUUAAAUGGCCCAGCAAAUAUAUCAUACAUUACAUACAUUACACCCUUACUUCUUAAAGUGUAGUCUUUAAAGUAGCCGCAGCAGCACUAAGGAGCUUUUUAGACAUUCAGAGUCAAGGGUUCUACCCCAGACACAGCAAAUCAGAAUCUUUCUUGAACCAGGCCCGUGGCUGAUUCCUAAAGGCAUUAUCAUGUGAAGAACAGUGGUCUGUACCACAGGGAUCAAGCUAAAUAAAUUGGGGCACAGGUGCAGAAGUUAAUUCCUCUUAUUUCUUUCUUGCUUGUUCCUUUUUUAUUAAGUACAGCCUUUUAUUAAUUUGUGCAUUGCCAUGAAGAAUUCUCACAUUAUAUGCUUUGGGUAAAUACUGCUGCAUUUUAAGAGCAGACAUCUGCAUCAUUAUUGCCGAAAGAGAAUGCUCUGCUGGGGAAUGAACUGGGGUCUGGAACAUGAACAUUUUCUUCAUGGCAGCAGAGGGAGCACAAGAGUACUUAAUAAAACCAGCGCACAGGUUUCUCCACAACACGACAGAUUUUAAAUUGUAGUAUAUGUUUUCCUUGGAAGUAGCCUGUUACGUAGUUCAAAAUGAAGCAAAACAACCAAACAAACACAAACAGCUUACCAGGUCUCAACAACUGUGUAACUGAACAGGCUGGAAGUUGAAGAAAACAAAGAUAAACUUCUUCAGUUUUAGGCUUGAAUUGUUAAAAGACGUUGAACAUCCAAAGUGAAAAAGAUGUCUCGCCUUUGCUCUACUCAAAAACAAAGAUAACACAAUACAGAAUCAGGCAACCCUAACAGUCAGUUCCCGGGACCCUACAUCAGCCUCACUCCUCUUUGCAUUUGAGGGAAAUGAUUCUAGAAGCUGAAAUAGACCAGAGUUCAACAGUCUGGGAAAUUUGAAGAAGAAAAAAGAAAAAAAAAAACAUCCAAGUCCUGCAUUUGCAGAGAUGUGAAGAGAACCCAGCUUUCUGAAGUUGGAAGGAAGUGAGAAGACCCUAUUUGUGGCUGCAGGAGAGGAAAAGAAAAGGGACCCGCAAGGAAACUACCAACAGAUGACAGGAAUCUGAGCCAAAGAGUUGCAGGAAAUUGGCAAAGAUCAUACAACUAAUUCAUGGCAAAUUCAGCACUGGAACCUAAGAUGUCGCCCUCCUAGUCCUGUGUUUGCUCUCCUCUAGCCCUCAUUGAAGGUGGACACUGCUGUGAUGAGCAAAACCCAAUUCUAGAAGACCUCAAUCAUGGCAGCCCUCGUGCUUGGGUUCUUAUGAAGCAAGAUGAUGGUGUUUCUGUCUGGUCUGUAGAUGUUUGGGAAACUGGUUGUUAUUCUUUACAAGUAAGGUUUCAAGCUAAAAUAGAUUUGUUAAUUUCUGUCCUAAACCCCUGUUGGUUGUCUAGAUUAUAUAGCUACCAUACUAUUUGUCACAGCUGGGAUCCUCUUUUCAUGAAAUACCAGGGAAGAUUGGUGGAUAAGGAUUAAAAAGCAUUGGCAGAGGAGACUGGGAGACUUACACAAUUACUUCCCACCCCGUGCCUUCCUGGUCUAAGAACUUCUCCCAGCCUCUUUUGGAGAGAGAGGGGGACCAGAAAAGAAAGAAAGCACCCAAAUUGCUGAGAGACAGUUUCAAGUGGAGUAGCCAUUACGAAAGCCAGAGGGUGGCUUGCAGGUAUCGUACCCACUCUUCCUGCAGCCGGUC
Molecule: non-coding RNA, 4275 nt
Organism: Callithrix jacchus (white-tufted-ear marmoset)
Lineage: Eukaryota; Metazoa; Chordata; Mammalia; Primates; Cebidae
Source: RefSeq, a predicted model, not a curated record